This 468-nucleotide ribosomal RNA is filed under the name uncultured bacterium. Its description in RNAcentral is "partial 16S ribosomal RNA". It matches the Rfam family "Bacterial small subunit ribosomal RNA", at positions 28 to 507 of the family's 1533-position model. The record is from RNAcentral.
GACGAACGCUGGCGGCGUGCUUAACACGUGCAAGUCGAACGGAAAGGCCCUGCUUUUGUGGGGUGCUCGAGUGGCGAACGGGUGAGUAACACGUGAGUAACCUGCCCUUGACUUUGGGAUAACUUCAGGAAACUGGGGCUAAUACCGGAUAGGAGCUCCUGCUGCAUGGUGGGGGUUGGAAAGUUUCGGCGGUUGGGGAUGGACUCGCGGCUUAUCAGCUUGUUGGUGGGGUAGUGGCUUACCAAGGCUUUGACGGGUAGCCGGCCUGAGAGGGUGACCGGCCACAUUGGGACUGCGGUACGGCCCAGACUCCUACGGGAGGCAGCAGUGGGGAAUAUUGCACAAUGGGCGGACGCCUGAUGCAGCAACGCCGCGUGCGGGAUGACGGCCUUCGGGUUGUAAACCGCUUUCGCCUGUGACGAAGCGUGAGUGACGGUAAUGGGUAAAGAAGCACCGGCUAACUACGUG